This 390-nucleotide ribosomal RNA is filed under the name Salmonella enterica. Its description in RNAcentral is "bacterial SSU rRNA". It matches the Rfam family "Bacterial small subunit ribosomal RNA", at positions 59 to 445 of the family's 1533-position model. Lineage: Bacteria; Pseudomonadati; Pseudomonadota; Gammaproteobacteria; Enterobacterales; Enterobacteriaceae. The record is from RNAcentral.
AAGUCGAACGGUAACAGGAAGCAGCUUGCUGCUUCGCUGACGAGUGGCGGACGGGUGAGUAAUGUCUGGGAAACUGCCUGAUGGAGGGGGAUAACUACUGGAAACGGUGGCUAAUACCGCAUAACGUCGCAAGACCAAAGAGGGGGACCUUCGGGCCUCUUGCCAUCAGAUGUGCCCAGAUGGGAUUAGCUAGUUGGUGAGGUAACGGCUCACCAAGGCGACGAUCCCUAGCUGGUCUGAGAGGAUGACCAGCCACACUGGAACUGAGACACGGUCCAGACUCCUACGGGAGGCAGCAGUGGGGAAUAUUGCACAAUGGGCGCAAGCCUGAUGCAGCCAUGCCGCGUGUAUGAAGAAGGCCUUCGGGUUGCCCAGUACUUUCAGCGGGGA